Molecule: ribosomal RNA, 340 nt
Filed under: uncultured bacterium
Lineage: Bacteria
Description: bacterial SSU rRNA
Rfam family: Bacterial small subunit ribosomal RNA
Source: RNAcentral
CUACGUAGCUCAGAGUUUGAUCCUGGCUCAGGAUGAACGCUGGCGGCGUGCAUAACACAUUCAAGUCGAACGGAACGUUUGGGGCUUGCUCCGAACGUUUAGUGGCGGACGGGUGAGUAACGCGUGAGCAAUCUGCCUCUGUGUACGGAAUAACAGCCGGAAACGACUGCUGAUACCGUAUGAAGUAUAGAUUUCGCAUGGAGCCUACACCAAAGAGCAAUCGUACAGAGAUGAGCUUGCGUCCGAUUAGGUAGUUGGUGAGGUAACGGCCCACCAAGCCGACGAUCGGUAGCCGAACUGAGAGGUUGAACGGCCACAUUGGAACUGAGAUACGGUCCAG